UCAGUGAUCAGUGCCUGGUGGGCAUGCAUGCACUUCCCAUGCACCACCCGUGGUCACUCCU
MicroRNA precursor from Bos indicus x Bos taurus (hybrid cattle), 61 nucleotides. NCBI's taxonomy places the organism in Eukaryota, Metazoa, Chordata, Mammalia, Artiodactyla, Bovidae. The record is from Ensembl.